UGCAGUCGACGGUAACAUUUCUAGCUUGCUAGAAGAUGACGAGUGGCGGACGGGUGAGUAAUGCUUGGGAACUUGCCUUUGCGAGGGGGAUAACAGUUGGAAACGACUGCUAAUACCGCAUAAUGUCUUCGGACCAAACGGGGCUUCGGCUCCGGCGCAAAGAGAGGCCCAAGUGAGAUUAGCUAGUUGGUAAGGUAACGGCUUACCAAGGCGACGAUCUCUAGCUGUUCUGAGAGGAAGAUCAGCCACACUGGGACUGAGACACGGCCCAGACUCCUACGGGAGGCAGCAGUGGGGAAUAUUGCACAAUGGGGGAAACCCUGAUGCAGCCAUGCCGCGUGUGUGAAGAAGGCCUUCGGGUUGUAAAGCACUUUCAGUUGUGAGGAAAAGUUAGUAGUUAAUACCUGCUAGCCGUGACGUUAACAACAGAAGAAGCACCGGCUAACUCCGUGCCAGCAGCCGCGGUAAUACGGAGGGUGCGAGCGUUAAUCGGAAUUACUGGGCGUAAAGCGCACGCAGGCGGUUUGUUAAGCUAGAUGUGAAAGCCCCGGGCUCAACCUGGGAUGGUCAUUUAGAACUGGCAGACUAGAGUCUUGGAGAGGGGAGUGGAAUUCCAGGUGUAGCGGUGAAAUGCGUAGAUAUCUGGAGGAACAUCAGUGGCGAAGGCGACUCCCUGGCCAAAGACUGACGCUCAUGUGCGAAAGUGUGGGUAGCGAACAGGAUUAGAUACCCUGGUAGUCCACACCGUAAACGCUGUCUACUAGCUGUGUGUGCCUUUAAGGCGUGCGUA
RNAcentral lists this ribosomal RNA (790 nucleotides) under uncultured Alteromonas sp. Its description in RNAcentral is "bacterial SSU rRNA". It matches the Rfam family "Bacterial small subunit ribosomal RNA", at positions 56 to 845 of the family's 1533-position model. The record is from RNAcentral. Lineage: Bacteria; Pseudomonadati; Pseudomonadota; Gammaproteobacteria; Alteromonadales; Alteromonadaceae.